AACGCGAAGAACCUUACCAGUCCUUGACAUGUCCACUAUGGGCCUGAGAGAUCAGGUCCUUCACUUCGGGUGGGUGGAACACAGGUGCUGCAUGGCUGUCGUCAGCUCGUGUCGUGAGAUGUUGGGUUAAGUCCCGCAACGAGCGCAACCCUCAUCUUCAGUUGCCCCCGGGUAAGGCCGGGCACUCUGAAGAAACCGCCGGUGACAAGCCGGAGGAAGGCGGGGAUGACGUCAAGUCCUCAUGGCCCUUACGGACUGGGCUACACACGUACUACAAUGGUGGUGACAGUGGGCAGCGAAAGCGCGAGCUGGAGCUAAUCCCCAAAAGCCAUCUCAGUUCAGAUUGCACUCUGCAACUCGAGUGCAUGAAGUUGGAAUCGCUAGUAAUCGCAGAUCAGCACGCUGCGGUGAAUACGUUCCCGGGCCUUGUA
This 431-nucleotide ribosomal RNA is filed under the name uncultured Alphaproteobacteria bacterium. RNAcentral's name for it is "bacterial SSU rRNA". It matches the Rfam family "Bacterial small subunit ribosomal RNA", at positions 958 to 1385 of the family's 1533-position model. The record is from RNAcentral. Lineage: Bacteria; Pseudomonadati; Pseudomonadota; Alphaproteobacteria.